Molecule: unclassified non-coding RNA, 347 nt
Filed under: soil metagenome
Description: partial contains 5.8S ribosomal RNA, internal transcribed spacer 2, and large subunit ribosomal RNA
Rfam family: 5.8S ribosomal RNA (bases 1-120)
Source: RNAcentral
GAUGAAGAACGUAGCAAAAUGCGAUAAGUAAUGUGAAUUGCAGAAUUCAGUGAAUCAUCGAAUCUUUGAACGCACAUUGCGCCCGCUGGUAUUCCGGCGGGCAUGCCUGUUCGAGCGUCAUUUCAACCCUCAAGCCCCCGGGUUUGGUGUUGGGGAUCGGCUCUGCCCUUCUGGGCGGUGCCGCCCCCGAAAUACAUUGGCGGUCUCGCUGCAGCCUCCAUUGCGUAGUAGCUAACACCUCGCAACUGGAACGCGGCGCGGCCAUGCCGUAAAACCCCAACUUCUGAAUGUUGACCUCGGAUCAGGUAGGAAUACCCGCUGAACUUAAGCAUACAAUAAGCGGAGGA